This 448-nucleotide ribosomal RNA is filed under the name uncultured bacterium. RNAcentral describes it as "bacterial SSU rRNA". It matches the Rfam family "Bacterial small subunit ribosomal RNA", at positions 328 to 793 of the family's 1533-position model. The record is from RNAcentral.
GUGCCAGACUCCUACGGGAGGCAGCAGUGGGGGAUAUUGCACAAUGGGGGGAACCCUGAUGCAGCGACGCCGCGUGGGUGAAGAAGUAUUUCGGUAUGUAAAACCCUAUCGGCAGGGAAGAAUUUAGACGGUACCUGACUAAGAAGCCCCGGCUAACUACGUGCCAGCCGCCGCGGUAAUACGUAGGGGGCAAGCGUUAUCCGGAUUUAUUGGGUUUAAAGGGUGCGUAGGCGGAAUGCCAAGUCAGCGGUAAAAUCGGGGGGCUCAACCUCGCUCCGCCGUUGAAACUGGCGUUCUUGAGUGGGCGAGAAGUAUGCGGAAUGCGUGGUGUAGCGGUGAAAUGCAUAGAUAUCACGCAGAACUCCGAUUGCGAAGGCAGCAUACCGGCGCCCAACUGACGCUGAAGCACGAAAGCGUGGGUAUCGAACAGGAUUAGAUACCCCGGUAC